CAGGCCUUUUUGUGCUAGUUGUUUGCAUGAGUUGGAUCACUGAUUAGACUAAUAGAACCUUGCAUUAGAAUGUUUCUUCUAAUUAUCCUUGUGUGAGGAAAUGGGCUUUUUAGUCUUUCCUGGGUUAUCAUUUGUUCCUUCCACCACAAUUACUCAUUUCAGAACUGCAUUUUAUACCUUGCCAGCGAAUUGGAUCACAAGAGGUUGCUCAUGAGUUUUUGCUUACAUGUGUAGUAGGAGACUAGGAGCUCAAAAUGUCACGAAAAGCUAUCAGUAUUGUUCAUGGUGGUGGACGAAACUCUGGAUGCUAUAUUUGGAGAUGUUGGUACUUAAUAUAAUAAUUAUUCAUGAAAUGAUUUAUUUUAUUAUGUUACUGAAUUGUACCUAGAAAUUUCUUUAAUUGUAGCUAGAAAUUACUGUCGCCCAAAA
This is a long non-coding RNA of Amphimedon queenslandica, 429 nucleotides long. RefSeq lists it as uncharacterized. The record is from RefSeq and is a predicted model, not a curated record. Lineage: Eukaryota; Metazoa; Porifera; Demospongiae; Haplosclerida; Niphatidae. The transcript is spliced from 4 exons.